RNAcentral lists this ribosomal RNA (512 nucleotides) under uncultured Actinomycetes bacterium. RNAcentral describes it as "bacterial SSU rRNA". It matches the Rfam family "Bacterial small subunit ribosomal RNA", at positions 899 to 1412 of the family's 1533-position model. The record is from RNAcentral. Lineage: Bacteria; Bacillati; Actinomycetota; Actinomycetes.
ACUCAAAGGAAUUGACGGGGUCCCGCACAAGCAGCGGAGCAUGCGGCUUAAUUCGAUGCAACGCGAAGAACCUUACCUAGGCUUGACAUGCAUUGAAAACUGUUAGAGAUAACAGGUCCGCAAGGGCUUUGCACAGGUGGUGCAUGGCUGUCGUCAGCUCGUGUCGUGAGAUGUUGGGUUAAGUCCCGCAACGAGCGCAACCCUCGUCUUGUGUUGCCAACAGGUAAUGCUGGGAACUCACAAGAGACUGCCGGGGUCAACUCGGAGGAAGGUGGGGACGACGUCAAGUCAUCAUGCCCCUUAUGUCUAGGGCUGCACGCAUGCUACAAUGGCCGAUACAAAGGGCUGCGAUACCGCAAGGUGGAGCGAAUCCCAUAAAGUCGGUCUCAGUUCGGAUUGAGGUCUGCAACUCGACCUCAUGAAGUUGGAGUUGCUAGUAAUCGCGGAUCAGCAACGCCGCGGUGAAUACGUUCCCGGGCCUUGUACACACCGCCCGUCACGUCACGAAAGUC